This 777-nucleotide long non-coding RNA is filed under the name Bos taurus (domestic cattle). Its description in RNAcentral is "long non-coding RNA NONBTAT000564". Lineage: Eukaryota; Metazoa; Chordata; Mammalia; Artiodactyla; Bovidae. The record is from RNAcentral.
ACCCCAACACACUAUUAAGGUUGGAGAGUGGUAAUGUUUGGUUCACAUUGGACUGAUACUCUCCUUAAAUGGCUUUAUGCUAGUUUAAUCUCAUUUGUAAAAUCUUUAUGAGAAGGUUCUCAUUUAAAAUGAGAUAGUUUCAUUGUGUAUGUACUAAAGAGUAAGCUGUCUUUAGCAGAAAUUGAUUGAUGUAAUGAAAAUAGCAUUCCAUGGGGCUUCCUCAGAUCCCUAAAGUGGCUUUUUCUCUGCGGUAUUUCUGGAUCCCCCUGACAUCAGAGAAUUGAAAAGAAAGAAGUGGCCAACUGCUGUUCUUACAUGACUUAACUUAUGACUUCUCUUUCUCUGAAAUUGCCUUCCAUGCUCACUGAACCAGGAGUGGACCUGGUCAAUUAGACAUUCUCAUUUGAAAAUCUGGAGUUGGACAGCAAGAGUUUGACCAAGUUUCUCAAAUGUGGCAAGAUUUAAAGCGUUUCAUUUCAGUAGCUUUAAAGAUCAGAUUAUUCUAUACAGUCUGAGAAACAGGGAUACACUUUUAAAUGGUUGCUUACAGAACAAAAUUACAGAAGAAAAUAAAGGUAGUAGACUUACGAGAAUUUAAAGAAGAUAAACAAUAAUAAAAAAAAAAAAGCCCAGGAAUUGCUUCAUUAAGAGUCAUAAUCCUUGGACAUGAUUAAAAAAAAGUAAGAGUCAGUACAAACCUAAGAGACAGCUUAUUUGUACUUUAAAUAAGUUAUAGUAAAUUAUUGCUUAUUACAUUUAAUAAAUGUGUUAAAGGAG